UGGGGAAUAUUGCGCAAUGGGCGAAAGCCUGACGCAGCGACGCCGCGUGAGGGAUGACGGCCUUCGGGUUGUAAACCUCUUUCGCCAGGGACGAAGAGAGAUUGACGGUACCUGGAGAAGAAGCACCGGCUAACUACGUGCCAGCAGCCGCGGUAAUACGUAGGGUGCGAGCGUUGUCCGGAAUUAUUGGGCGUAAAGAGCUCGUAGGCGGUUUGUUGCGUCGGCCGUGAAAACUUCACGCUUAACGUGGAGCUUGCGGUCGAUACGGGCAGACUUGAGUUCGGUAGGGGAGACUGGAAUUCCUGGUGUAGCGGUGAAAUGCGCAGAUAUCAGGAGGAACACCGGUGGCGAAGGCGGGUCUCUGGGCCGAUACUGACGCUGAGGAGCGAAAGCGUGGGGAGCGAACAGGAUUAGAUACCCGCGUAGUCC
Molecule: ribosomal RNA, 429 nt
Filed under: uncultured bacterium
Lineage: Bacteria
Description: bacterial SSU rRNA
Rfam family: Bacterial small subunit ribosomal RNA
Source: RNAcentral